CCCUUAGAUGUCCUGGGCCGCACGCGCGCUACACUGAUGCGUUCAACGAGUUCUUCCUUGGCCGAGAGGCCUGGGCAAUCUUUUGAACGCGCAUCGUGAUAGGGAUUGACACUUGCAAUUAUUUGUCAUGAACGAGGAAUUCCUAGUAAACGCAGAUCAUCAAUCUGCAUUGAUUACGUCCCUGCCCUUUGUACACACCGCCCGUCGCACCUACCGAUUGGAUGGUCCGGUGAAGCCUCGGGAUUGUGGUUCUUGCCGCUUUAUUGUGGCGUGACCGCGAGAACUUGUCUAAACCUUAUCAUCUAGAGGAAGGUGAAGUCGUAACA
Molecule: ribosomal RNA, 326 nt
Filed under: uncultured eukaryote
Lineage: Eukaryota
Description: partial 18S ribosomal RNA
Rfam family: Eukaryotic small subunit ribosomal RNA
Source: RNAcentral